RNAcentral lists this ribosomal RNA (495 nucleotides) under uncultured bacterium. RNAcentral describes it as "partial 16S ribosomal RNA". It matches the Rfam family "Bacterial small subunit ribosomal RNA", at positions 28 to 507 of the family's 1533-position model. The record is from RNAcentral.
GACGAACGCUGGCGGCGUGCCUAAUACAUGCAAGUAGAACGCUGAAGGAGGAGCUUGCUUCUCUGGAUGAGUUGCGAACGGGUGAGUAACGCGUAGGUAACCUGCCUGGUAGCGGGGGAUAACUAUUGGAAACGAUAGCUAAUACCGCAUAAUAGCAGUUAUUGCAUGAUAACUGUUUGAAAGGUGCAAUUGCACCACUACCAGAUGGACCUGCGUUGUAUUAGCUAGUUGGUGGGGUAACGGCUCACCAAGGCGACGAUACAUAGCCGACCUGAGAGGGUGAUCGGCCACACUGGGACUGAGACACGGCCCAGACUCCUACGGGAGGCAGCAGUAGGGAAUCUUCGGCAAUGGACGGAAGUCUGACCGAGCAACGCCGCGUGAGUGAAGAAGGUUUUCGGAUCGUAAAGCUCUGCUGUAAGAGAAGAACGAGUGUGAGAGUGGAAAGUUCACACUGUGACGGUAUCUUACCAGAAAGGGACGGCUAACUACGUA